UACCGAGGGUGCGGGCGUUAAUCGGAAUUACUGGGCGUAAAGCGCACGUAGGUGGCGACGUAAGUCGGGUGUGAAAGCCCCGGGCUCAACCUGGGAAGUGCAUUCGAGACUGCAUUGCUGGAGUACGGAAGAGGAGGGCGGAAUUCCCGGUGUAGCGGUGAAAUGCGUAGAUAUCGGGAGGAACAUCAGUGGCGAAGGCGGCCCUCUGGUCCAGUACUGACACUCAAGUGCGAAAGCGUGGGGAGCAAGCAGG
This 253-nucleotide ribosomal RNA is filed under the name uncultured bacterium. RNAcentral's name for it is "partial 16S ribosomal RNA". It matches the Rfam family "Bacterial small subunit ribosomal RNA", at positions 524 to 776 of the family's 1533-position model. The record is from RNAcentral.